AUACGUAGGGUGCGAGCGUUGUCCGGAUUUAUUGGGCGUAAAGAGCUCGUAGGCGGUUUGUCGCGUCGGCCGUGAAAACCUACAGCUUAACUGUGGGCUUGCGGUCGAUACGGGCAGACUUGAGUUCGGCAGGGGAGACUGGAAUUCCUGGUGUAGCGGUGAAAUGCGCAGAUAUCAGGAGGAACACCGGUGGCGAAGGCGGGUCUCUGGGCCGAUACUGACGCUGAGGAGCGAAAGCGUGGGGAGCGAACAGGAUUAGAUACCCUGGUAGUCCACGCCGUAAACGGUGGGCGCUAGGUGUGGGGACUGGUUCCACGGUUUCCGUGCCGUAGCUAACGCAUUAAGCGCCCCGCCUGGGGAGUACGGCCGCAAGGCUGAA
This 379-nucleotide ribosomal RNA is filed under the name uncultured bacterium. RNAcentral describes it as "bacterial SSU rRNA". It matches the Rfam family "Bacterial small subunit ribosomal RNA", at positions 523 to 898 of the family's 1533-position model. The record is from RNAcentral.